UACGUAGGUCCCGAGCGUUGUCCGGAUUUAUUGGGUUUAAAGGGUGCGUAGGCGGACUGUCAAGUCAGCGGUAAAAUUGAGAGGCUCAACCUCUUCCCGCCGUUGAAACUGGUGGCCUUGAGUGGAUGAGAAGUACGGGGAAUGCGUGGUGUAGCGGUGAAAUGCAUAGAUAUCACGCAGAACUCCGAUUGCGAAGGCAGCGUACCGGCAUCCAACUGACGCUGAGGCACGAAAGCGUGGGGAGCAAACAGG
Molecule: ribosomal RNA, 252 nt
Filed under: uncultured bacterium
Lineage: Bacteria
Description: partial 16S ribosomal RNA
Rfam family: Bacterial small subunit ribosomal RNA
Source: RNAcentral